This 856-nucleotide ribosomal RNA is filed under the name Chalinidae sp. 1 JV-2020. RNAcentral's name for it is "partial large subunit ribosomal RNA". It matches the Rfam family "Eukaryotic large subunit ribosomal RNA", at positions 347 to 933 of the family's 3401-position model. Lineage: Eukaryota; Metazoa; Porifera; Demospongiae; Haplosclerida; Chalinidae. The record is from RNAcentral.
AGUACCGUGAGGGAAAGGUGAAAAGCACUUUGAAGAGAGAGUUCAAUAGACCGUGAAACCGUUGGGAGGGAAGCUCAGGGUGUCGAGGUUGUCGUGCACUGUUCGAGUUCAGCUGGUGGUAACAGUUUUCUGUUGCUGCUGGUGCAUUCUCUUAUGGUGUUUGACCGUCAGUUGGGAAGAGACGGAGGUCUGUACCGUCAGCAGCCGGGAGGUACGCCCUGAGUUUCCGUCAGGUGCUCGGGGUGACGUACAGCCGUCCUGUUGUGGUCUCUGUCGUCUUUCAGGUGCGUUGGAUGUCUGUUCGUCCAGAAAUGGAAGGUGCAGUCUCCCGUAGUGGGGGAUCGGGCCAUUCACAAGGUUGCUCUGCGUUGUUUAGCCGUGUUCCGUUCUCUCUCCGUUCUGUCUCUGGCAGUCGGGGCAGAGUGCGGCACGUCUUGCAAUCGCCAGUGUCCCUUGAGUUUGUGUCCUGGAAUCUGUGCCGAGGUGACUGGCGAAGAGUCGUUACCCUGUGCCCCGUCUUGAAACACGGACCAAGGAGUGCAAGAGAUGCGCAAGUCGGAAGGGUUGUGUUGGGGCUCUUCCUUCGGGAAUUGUCCUGCCUGAGAGACCCAUGUGUUUGGAACGGGCGAAGUGAGAGCAAUUCAUGGGUGCGAGAGCCAUGGGGAGACCCGUGGCGCAUCGCUGGCCGAGCCAAGGUCACGCUGUGACCGGUUUCGAGUACGAGCGUAUCUGUUGCGACCCGAAAGAUGGUGAACUAUGCCUGAGGAGGGUGAAGCCAGAGGAAACUCUGGUGGAGGCCCGUAGCGGUUCUGACGUGCAAAUCGAUCGUCGCACUUGGGUAUAGGGCGAAAGACUA